GAAGGACAGUUUAAGGCAGCGGUCGCCACUGAUCGGUGGUCCCCGGGCCACUGGUGGUCCGCGAGGUCCGAAAGGCUGGCGACCGCUACUUCAGGGCACACA
Long non-coding RNA from Pipistrellus kuhlii (Kuhl's pipistrelle), 102 nucleotides. RefSeq lists it as uncharacterized. Lineage: Eukaryota; Metazoa; Chordata; Mammalia; Chiroptera; Vespertilionidae. The record is from RefSeq and is a predicted model, not a curated record. The transcript is spliced from 3 exons.